RNAcentral lists this unclassified non-coding RNA (1742 nucleotides) under Hevea brasiliensis (rubber tree). The record is from RNAcentral. Lineage: Eukaryota; Viridiplantae; Streptophyta; Magnoliopsida; Malpighiales; Euphorbiaceae.
AAAUCCUCAUACCGCUCACCCUCUAUCGGAGUUGUUUUGCAUGCUGGAUUCCGAUAUAUCCACAACCAAUGGCAUCAACUGUUUUGCAUAUUGUGAAUAGUACUUUGGAGUGGGUUACACUGGCUUUGGAUACUCCAUCUGCUCGAGCUGUUGUUUUUGGAGUUCAUAUUGGAGGACAUCUUUUUGUGGAGGGUCUUCUUCUGGUUGUCAUUCUUUUCCUACUAUCACAAAAAAGUUACAAGCCCCCUAAACGGCCAUUAACAAAGAAGGAAAUAGAUGAGCUAUGUGAAGAAUGGGUUCCAGAACCCCUUAUUCCUCCCAUUACAGAAGAGAUGCAAUACGAGCCACCUGUAUUGGAAAGUGCUGCUGGGCCACAUACAAUAAUCAAUGGCAAAGAAGUUGUGAACUUUUCUUCAGCUAAUUAUCUUGGAUUAAUAGGGCAUGAGAAAUUACUUGAGUCUUGCACCUCUGCAUUGGAAAAAUAUGGUGUUGGUUCAUGUGGUCCUCGUCAGUUCUAUGGAACUAUUGAUGUCCACCUUGAUUGUGAGGCUAGAAUAGCGAAGUUUUUGGGAACUCCUGAUUCAAUUCUCUAUUCGUAUGGACUUUCCACCAUAUUCAGCGCAAUUCCAUGUUUCUGCAAAAAAGGAGACAUAAUAGUUGUUGAUGAAGGAGUCCACUGGGGAAUACAAAAUGGCCUUUACCUUUCUAGAAGCACCAUUGUGUAUUUUAAACAUAAUGACAUGGAAUCACUACAAAACACGUUGGAGAAAAUAACUGCUGAGAAUAAGCGUGCUAAACAAUUGCGUCGCUACAUCAUUGUUGAAGCAAUAUACCAGAAUUCUGGCCAAAUAGCACCAUUAAAUGAGAUUAUCAGAUUGAAGGAGAAAUAUCGCUUUCGUGUUUUGUUGGAUGAGAGCAACUCAUUUGGAGUCCUCGGCAGAUCCGGAAAAGGUCUAACUGAAUACUAUGGUGUUCCAGUUGACAAGAUAGAUAUUAUAACUGCAGCAAUGGGGCAUGCUUUAGCCACUGAAGGAGGAUUCUGCACUGGAAGUGCAAGAGUCAUUGAUCACCAACGACUGAGCAGCUCUGGAUAUGUCUUUUCAGCUUCUUUGCCUCCAUAUCUUGCAAGUGCUGCAAUUACUGCUAUUGAUGUCCUGGAGGGUAAUCCUGCUCUAGUAGCCAAGCUGAAAGAAAACAUUGCUAUAUUGUGGAAAGGAUUGUCAAACAUACGGGGUCUCUCUAUAGCAAGCCAUCCAGAAUCACCUAUUGUUUUUCUGAGACUUGAGAAGUCCAAAGGUUCAGUAAAAGAUGACCUAAAACUCCUUGAGAAAAUUGCUGAUUGUGCCUUGAAGGAAGACUCGGUGUUUGUAGUAGUUACCAAAAGAUCAACACUUGAUAAAUGCCGUUUGCCUGUCGGAAUCAAAUUGUUCGUAUCAGCUGCUCAUUCACAAUCUGAUAUGUUCAAGGCAUGUGAAUCCUUGAAGAGAUUUACAGAAUCGUUGCUGAGUAAUUAUAACUGAAUGUUGUGUUAGAUAAUUUCUGUCUGUAUGUAUCUGUACUGUGCCAGAUCAGAUCAGAUAUGGACUGGCAUUCUUCCUUUGAACAUUGUUGGAAAGAAUUUCAGUAUGAGAGGUCAGUAGAUAUUGGUAGUUUAUGGAAUUUUCAUUAGAUCAAAUGCCGUACUGGAUUGAUGAGUAACAAAUGGUUAAAUUUUAUCUAUGAAUGGUUGUAAUUGUCAAGGG